RNAcentral lists this microRNA precursor (92 nucleotides) under Pelobates cultripes (western spadefoot toad). The record is from RNAcentral. Lineage: Eukaryota; Metazoa; Chordata; Amphibia; Anura; Pelobatidae.
CUCCAGAUGUUGCUGAACUACAACUCUAUGAUUCUACAAAUGAAAUAGAUAGGCUGAGAAUCAUGGGAGUUGUAGUUCAGCAACAUCUAGAG